GUAGGUGGCAAGCGUUGUCCGGAUUUACUGGGCGUAAAGGAUGCGUAGGCGGAUAUUUAAGUGAGAUGUGAAAUUCCCGGGCUUAACUUGGGAGCUGCAUUUCAAACUGGAUAUCUAGAGUGCGGGAGAGGAGAAUGGAAUUCCUAGUGUAGCGGUGAAAUGCGUAGAGAUUAGGAAGAACACCAGUGGCGAAGGCGAUUCUCUGGACCGUAACUGACGCUGAGGCAUGAAAGCGUGGGGUAGCAAACAGGAUUAGAUACCCUGGUAGUCCACGCCGUAAACGAUGAGUACUAGGUGUAGGAGGUAUCGACUCCUUCUGUGCCGCAGUUAACACAAUAAGUACUCCGCCUGGGAAGUACGAUCGCAAGAUUAA
RNAcentral lists this ribosomal RNA (373 nucleotides) under uncultured organism. RNAcentral's name for it is "partial 16S ribosomal RNA". It matches the Rfam family "Bacterial small subunit ribosomal RNA", at positions 527 to 897 of the family's 1533-position model. The record is from RNAcentral.